UACGAGAGGCCCAAACGUUAUUCGGAAUUACUGGGCUUAAAGAGUUCGUAGGCGGCAUGAAAAGCAGGGUGUGAAAGCCCUCGGCUCAACCGAGGAAUUGCGCUCUGAACUGUCGUGCUUGAGGAACCUAGAGGUGAGCAGAACAGAUGGUGGAGCGGUGAAAUGCGUUGAUAUCAUCUGGAAUACCGGAGGCGAAGGCGGCUCACUGGGGGUUUUCUGACGCUGAGGAACGGAAAGCCAGGGUAGCGAACGGG
Molecule: ribosomal RNA, 254 nt
Filed under: uncultured bacterium
Lineage: Bacteria
Description: partial 16S ribosomal RNA
Rfam family: Bacterial small subunit ribosomal RNA
Source: RNAcentral